This 1143-nucleotide long non-coding RNA is filed under the name Androctonus crassicauda. Lineage: Eukaryota; Metazoa; Arthropoda; Arachnida; Scorpiones; Buthidae. The record is from RNAcentral.
GGAAUUUCAAAAAAAAUUGUUCGAUUUUUAUAUUUUACUCUGAUUUUUAGUCCAUUUCUAUAUCUCUGUUAUAAGAGUUUUGUUAUAUAGUUUUAGUUUUUCUGAUUUUUAUAAAAAUAUAUGAUGAUGAUUUUUGUAAUUUUAUAUUUUCUUUUGAAAGAUUUGGGAUCAAUUCUGGAUCUUUCGCCUUCAGAUUUUUCAGUGGAUUCCGGGCUUGCGUCGUUGAUCCCCAUCUUUCAAUUCUUCAGAAAUUGUUUUUGAAACAUAAUUAUGUAUUUUUUUUUUUUUUUCCGCAGAACUGUAUUUUAAACUUAUUUUCAUUUUGAAAAGGAAAUAGGCUUAUUUUUUUUCUAUAUCAAAUCGGUUUUUAUUGGUUUAAAACAAAAAUUUUAAGGUUAAUCCAUUUUUAUAAAACAUAUUUAUGUUAUGAAACUAAAAGUCUGUUAUGUUUUUCUCCUUAUGAAAAAGAAAUUCUUGAAAAGAAAAAAUCUUGACUGUAACAAUAAAGCAAAGCUCGUUGAAGCUUCUGAAUUUUAAGAAGUUAUUCGUAUCUGCUACAUAAUUUAGUUUUAUUGACUUUUUAUAAGAAAUCACUGGAAAUUUCAUUCUUGCGAAAAGCAGCAAUGAUUACAUUUCUAUAAGUAAUAUUGCAAUAAAAUAAAUAGUAAAAAACGGCAUCAUAAUUUAUGAAUGUGAAUUCAAAGUAUUAUAAUAUAUAAUUUUUAUAUCACCUGGAUGUAGAACUAUAUUCAUUCAUGCGGUAAGUAGUAGUGAACUUAUGCAUUGUCAAGGGGCAUUGUGUUUCGAUAAGUCACAAUUAAAUCAGAUCAUGGCUAUUAUACUAUGUACUGUAUGGAUAUUAUAUAAACACAUUUGGUUACAUUUCCGCUUUAUUUUAGCUCUCUCAAUGUCUCUAAGAAAGCCAGGAUAUAGACCUUGCUUUGCUAUAUCCUAUAUGUCUGUUUUUAUUUAUGUUAAAAUAGAUUCAUAAUUAUUUAUGCGAAUUAUAUUUUCUAUUAAAUUUAUGGGAAAAAUAAAAGACAAAUUUUCUAUUUAAUAUUUUUGAAUUGCACUUUAUUUUAUUAUUAUUAUUUGCUUGUUAUUAAUUUUAUUAUUAUUAUUUACAGCCUUUCGAGAUUUUAG